UGCGUAACGCGUAUGCAACCUGCCUGUAAGUUAGGGAUAACCCGGUGAAAGUCGGACUAAUACCCUAUAUUCAUCGUUAAUCGCAUGAUUGGNAGAUGGAUAGAUUUAUUGAUUACAGAUGGGCAUGCGUCCCAUUAGCUGGUUGGUAAGGUAACGGCUUACCAAGGCAACGAUGGGUAGGGGGACUGAGAGGUUGACCCCCCCACACUGGUACUGAGACACGGACCAGACUCCUACGGGAGGCAGCAGCG
Molecule: ribosomal RNA, 251 nt
Filed under: uncultured Porphyromonas sp.
Lineage: Bacteria; Pseudomonadati; Bacteroidota; Bacteroidia; Bacteroidales; Porphyromonadaceae
Description: partial 16S ribosomal RNA
Rfam family: Bacterial small subunit ribosomal RNA
Source: RNAcentral